This is a long non-coding RNA of Varanus komodoensis (Komodo dragon), 1283 nucleotides long. RefSeq lists it as uncharacterized. The record is from RefSeq and is a predicted model, not a curated record. Lineage: Eukaryota; Metazoa; Chordata; Lepidosauria; Squamata; Varanidae. The transcript is spliced from 5 exons.
CGGGCCUGGAAGCGAGUCCGACUCGUCGCUUCGGCGCCCGCUGAGAGAAGAAGGCUAUCCAAUGAGAGGGCCCAAGGUAGUGGCGUGCGCUUGAAUCGUCCUCUAUACAGUCUGGAGGAUCAAAGCCAGGCGAAGCGACGGAGACCUACUGAACCUGCCAUGUUCCUGGCACUGCGUUCUGCUUGACGCCUGGCAGUAUGGACCUCCUGACACACAAGAGUGGAGUGUUCUCUUCUUGAUGGGCCUUGAGAGGACCACACAAUAAUAGAGUUGGGGCGCGGAUCUUGAAAAAAGAAAUUCUGCGUCUCUUUCCUGUACCUGGUACCUAUUUUCCAGUCUUCAAGGUGGAGGAGCCACGGAUGCAGGGAGAAGACAUAGAGAAAAGGAAACCUGACCAGCAGGAACUCUUACGUAUAGCUCGAGGGGCCUCACCCCAACAUGAUAUUGGCAGCAGCUAACAUCUGGGAGGUAGCCAUUACCUUGUUAUAUUGCUAACAAACUUCUUAUCAUCUACCACCACACUGAGCUGGCAGACCCGGGGAGCAAAGACGUGGAGGGGUUCUGGGAACAAGGGCAGUUUCUCUCCAGGAGCUGCAGCCAGCACAAUCGCUCUCCUGCGUGUCUGGGCCACACCAUACUGGCCAGCCUAGGAGGAGGGAGAAGAUGGGAAACACCUGGGUUAUGGACACAAGAGCCACGCUGGAUCACACCAAAGGCCUACCUAGGCCAGCAUCCUGGUUGCACCGUGGGCAACUGGAGACUCCCAUGGAAGCCCACAAGCAGGACAUAAGCAUGGUAGCAUCCUUCCACCCUCAGUUCCCAGUGACUGGUAUGAAGAGGCAGACUACCUAUAACCCUGGAGGUAAUACUAACCACUAAGACUAGCAGCCAGAGAUUGCCUUAUUCCUCCAUGAACAUCUCUAAACCCUCUUAAUGCCAUCCAAGUUGUGACAGCAAAUACCAAAACCACACACAGUGUGAAGGAUUUCCUUUUGUCUGCCCCGAAUCUCCCAACAUUCAGUGUCAUUCUAUGGCCCUGAGUUCAAGUAUUCUAUCCCACUUUCUCCACACCACACGAAUUUUGGACACCUCUAUCAUGUCUCCUUUUCUCACCUUGUGGAACAAGAAGAAAAGCUUUCAUUUUUUUUGGCCUUAAAGUAUAAUUCCCAUUUAGAAUUUAUUGCAUUUUCUUCCAUUAUUGAAUAAUGUUUGUUAAGAUUUAUUCUUUAUGUCAGCUUUAUGUCAAAUUCAAACCUAAAAGAGGUCAUUAAAGAUAUCCUCGA